UAAUCGUGAACAAACAUUUAUUUGCCUCUCCUCUUAUCUUCCAUUAAGAAGUUCAUGCCUUCAGACUUCUUGCUUGGAAGGCCCCCCUUGACUCUUGGUGAGAUGCAGGGUUGCACUUGUCCAAUGCUUCACAUCAAGCAGGAAAGGAAUCUUCUAUGAUCUUAUUGGAAGAGAGCUGUU
This 180-nucleotide long non-coding RNA is filed under the name Monodelphis domestica (gray short-tailed opossum). RNAcentral describes it as "lncRNA (ENSMODG00000038522.1)". Lineage: Eukaryota; Metazoa; Chordata; Mammalia; Didelphimorphia; Didelphidae. The record is from RNAcentral.